GACGAACCGUGCGAACGUUGUUCGGAUUCACUGGGCUUAAAGGGCGCGUAGGCGGGUUACCAAGUCAGGGGUGAAAUCUUUCGGCUCAACCGGAAAACGGCCCCUGAUACUGGUAGUCUUGAGGGAGGUAGGGGCAGGUGGAACUUCCGGUGGAGCGGUGAAAUGCGUAGAUAUCGGGAGGAACACCAGUGGCGAAGGCGACUACCUGGCCCAUUCUUGACGCUGAGGCGCGAAAGCUAGGGGAGCGAACGGG
This 253-nucleotide ribosomal RNA is filed under the name uncultured bacterium. RNAcentral's name for it is "partial 16S ribosomal RNA". It matches the Rfam family "Bacterial small subunit ribosomal RNA", at positions 524 to 776 of the family's 1533-position model. The record is from RNAcentral.